Molecule: ribosomal RNA, 1346 nt
Filed under: uncultured bacterium
Lineage: Bacteria
Description: bacterial SSU rRNA
Rfam family: Bacterial small subunit ribosomal RNA
Source: RNAcentral
GACGAACGCUGGCGGCGUGCUUAACACAUGCAAGUCGAACGGAAAGGCCCUGCUUUUGUGGGGUGCUCGAGUGGCGAACGGGUGAGUAACACGUGAGUAACCUGCCCUUGACUUUGGGAUAACUUCAGGAAACUGGGGCUAAUACCGGAUAGGAGCUCCUGCUGCAUGGUGGGGGUUGGAAAGUUUCGGCGGUUGGGGAUGGACUCGCGGCUUAUCAGCUUGUUGGUGGGGUAGUGGCUUACCAAGGCUUUGACGGGUAGCCGGCCUGAGAGGGUGACCGGCCACAUUGGGACUGAGAUACGGCCCAGACUCCUACGGGAGGCAGCAGUGGGGAAUAUUGCACAAUGGGCGGAAGCCUGAUGCAGCAACGCCGCGUGCGGGAUGACGGCCUUCGGGUUGUAAACCGCUUUCGCCUGUGACGAAGCGUGAGUGACGGUAAUGGGUAAAGAAGCACCGGCUAACUACGUGCCAGCAGCCGCGGUGAUACGUAGGGUGCGAGCGUUGUCCGGAUUUAUUGGGCGUAAAGGGCUCGUAGGUGGUUGAUCGCGUCGGAAGUGUAAUCUUGGGGCUUAACCCUGAGCGUGCUUUCGAUACGGGUUGACUUGAGGAAGGUAGGGGAGAAUGGAAUUCCUGGUGGAGCGGUGGAAUGCGCAGAUAUCAGGAGGAACACCAGUGGCGAAGGCGGUUCUCUGGGCCUUUCCUGACGCUGAGGGGCGAAAGCGUGGGGAGCGAACAGGCUUAGAUACCCUGGUAGUCCACGCUGUAAACGGUGGGUACUAGGUGUGGGGUCCAUUCCACGGGUUCCGUGCCGUAGCUAACGCUUUAAGUACCCCGCCUGGGGAGUACGGCCGCAAGGCUAAAACUCAAAGGAAUUGACGGGGCCCCGCACAAGCGGCGGAGCAUGCGGAUUAAUUCGAUGCAACGCGUAGAACUUUACCUGGGUUUGACAUGGAUCGGGAGUGCUCAGAGAUGGGUGUGCCUCUUUUGGGGUCGGUUCACAGGUGGUGCAUGGCUGUCGUCAGCUCGUGUCGUGAGAUGUUGGGUUAAGUCCCGCAACGAGCGCAACCCUUGUUCACUGUUGCCAGCACGUUAUGGUGGGGACUCAGUGGAGACCGCCGGGGUCAACUCGGAGGAAGGUGGGGAUGACGUCAAGUCAUCAUGCCCCUUAUGUCCAGGGCUUCACGCAUGCUACAAUGGCUGGUACAGAGAGUGGCGAGCCUGUGAGGGUGAGCGAAUCUCGGAAAGCCGGUCUCAGUUCGGAUUGGGGUCUGCAACUCGACCCCAUGAAGUCGGAGUCGCUAGUAAUCGCAGAUCAGCAACGCUGCGGUGAAUAUGUUCCCGGGGCC